AUACGUAGGGAGCGAGCGUUGUCCGGAAUUACUGGGCGUAAAGGGCGCGUAGGCGGCGCUUCAAGUCGUCUGUCAAAUGGAAGGGCUUAACCCUUUUUCGCAGACGAAACUGGAGAGCUUGAGAAGCAGAGAGGCAAACAGAAUUCCUGGUGUAGCGGUGAAAUGCGUAGAUAUCAGGAAGAAUACCAGUGGCGAAGGCGGUUUGCUGGCUGCAUACUGACGCUGAAGCGCGAAAGCCAGGGGAGCGAACGGGAUUAGAUACCCCGGUAGUCCCGGCAGUAAACGAUGUAUGCUGGGUGUGAGACUAGCGAUAGUUUCGUGCCGAAGUUAACGCGAUAAGCAUACCGCCUGGGGAGUACGGUCGCAAGAUUGAAACUCAAAUGAAUUGACGGGG
This 394-nucleotide ribosomal RNA is filed under the name uncultured bacterium. Its description in RNAcentral is "partial 16S ribosomal RNA". It matches the Rfam family "Bacterial small subunit ribosomal RNA", at positions 523 to 918 of the family's 1533-position model. The record is from RNAcentral.